RNAcentral lists this transfer RNA (64 nucleotides) under Eutetrapha metallescens. RNAcentral describes it as "tRNA-Phe". The record is from RNAcentral. Lineage: Eukaryota; Metazoa; Arthropoda; Insecta; Coleoptera; Cerambycidae.
ACUUAAAUAGCUUAAGAAGAGCAUGAUAUUGAAGAUAUUAAGGUAAUAAAAUUAUUUUUAAGUA